UACUCGUAUUGUGGUGUAGCAAGAGGGC
This 28-nucleotide non-coding RNA is filed under the name Bombyx mori (domestic silkworm). Lineage: Eukaryota; Metazoa; Arthropoda; Insecta; Lepidoptera; Bombycidae. The record is from RNAcentral.